GUUAUAUGGUCAAGCGAAUAAGCGCACACGGUGGAUGCCUUGGCGGUCAGAGGCGAUGAAGGACGUGGCAGCCUGCGAAAAGUAUCGGGGAGCUGGCAACAAGCUUUGAUCCGGUAAUGUCCGAAUGGGGAAACCCACCCGCUUGCGGGUAUCCUGCAGUGAAUACAUAGCUGCUGGAAGCGAACCUGGUGAACUGAAAUAUCUAAGUAACCAGAGGAAAAGAAAUCAACCGAGAUUCCGUAAGUAGCGACGAGCGAACGCGGACUAGCCCUUAAGCUGAUUUGGUUCUAGGAAAAUGCUCUGGAAAGAGCAGCCAUAGAAGGUGAUAGCCCUGUAUCUGAAAGGGCCAUUUCAGUGAAGACGAGUAGGGCGGGGCACGUGAAACCCUGUCUGAACAUGGGGGGACCAUCCUCCAAGGCUAAAUACUACUGACCGACCGAUAGUGAACCAGUACCGUGAGGGAAAGGCGAAAAGAACCCCGGAGAGGGGAGUGAAAUAGAACCUGAAACCGUGUGCGUACAAGCAGUAGGAGCUCCGCAAGGAGUGACUGCGUACCUUUUGUAUAAUGGGUCAGCGACUUACUGUUCGUGGCAAGCUUAACCGUAUAGGGGAGGCGAAGGGAAACCGAGUCUGAUAAGGGCGCAUAGUCGCGGGCAGUAGACCCGAAACCGGGUGAUCUAGUCAUGCCCAGGGUGAAGGUGCGGUAACACGCACUGGAGGCCCGAACCCACUCCCGUUGCAAAGGUAGGGGAUGAGGUGUGAUUAGGAGUGAAAAGCUAAUCGAACCCGGAGAUAGCUGGUUCUCCUCGAAAGCUAUUUAGGUAGCGCCUCAUAUGUAUCCUCUCGGGGGUAGAGCACUGUUAUGGCUAGGGGGUCAUCGCGACUUACCAAACCAUUGCAAACUCCGAAUACCGAGACGGACUGUAUGGGAGACACACGGCGGGUGCUAACGUCCGUCGUGAAAAGGGAAACAACCCAGACCCACAGCUAAGGUCCCAAAUUCACUGCUAAGUGGAAAACCAUGUGGAAAGGCACAGACAGCCAGGAGGUUGGCUUAGAAGCAGCCACCCUUUAAAGAAAGCGUAAUAGCUCACUGGUCGAGUCGGUCUGCGGGGAAGAUUUAACGGGGCUAAGCAGUGAACCGAAGCUUGGGGUGCAUAACUUUGUUAUGCGCGGUAGAGGAGCGUUCCGUAAGCCGUUGAAGGUGGAUUGAGAAGUCUGCUGGAGGUAUCGGAAGUGCGAAUGCUGACAUGAGUAACGAUAAUGCGGGUGAAAAACCCGCACGCCGAAAGCCCAAGGUUUCCUUGCGCAACGUUAAUCGGCGCAGGGUGAGUCGGCCCCUAAGGCGAGGACGAAAGUCGUAGUCGAUGGGAAGCAGGUUAAUAUUCCUGCACCUCGCGUAAGUGCGAUGGAGGGACGGAGAAGGUUAGGUGUACCAGGCGUUGGUUGUCCUGGGGAAAGGCGGUAGGUUUGGAUCUUUGGCAAAUCCGGGAUCCUUCAAGACCGAGCACCGAGACGAGCCUUUAUGGCGAAGUCACUGAUACCACGCUUCCAGGAAAAGCUCCUAAGCUUCAGCUUACGCAGACCGUACCGUAAACCGACACAGGUGGGUAGGAUGAGAAUUCUCAGGCGCUUGAGAGAACUCGGGUGAAGGAACUAGGCAACAUGGCACCGUAACUUCGGGAGAAGGUGCACCCUUUUUGGUGGCUCGUGCGAGCUAUAGCUGAAGAGGGUCGCAGUAACCAGGCCGCUGCGACUGUUUAUCAAAAACACAGCACUCUGCAAACACGAAAGUGGACGUAUAGGGUGUGACGCCUGCCCGGUGCUGGAAGGUUAAUUGAUGGGGUCAGCCGCAAGGCGAAGCUCUUGAUCGAAGCCCCAGUAAACGGCGGCCGUAACUAUAACGGUCCUAAGGUAGCGAAAUUCCUUGUCGGGUAAGUUCCGACCUGCACGAAUGGCGUAACGACAGCGGCGCUGUCUCCACCCGAGACUCAGUGAAAUUGAAAUCGCUGUGAAGAUGCAGCGUUCCCGUGGCAAGACGGAAAGACCCCGUGAACCUUUACUAUAGCUUUACACUGAACGUUGAGUUCGUCUGUGUAGGAUAGGUGGGAGGCUAUGAAACUGUGGCGCUAGCUGCAGCGGAGCCAUCCUUGAAAUACCACCCUGUCGUGCUUGACGUUCUAACCUGGGCCCAUUAUCUGGGUCGGGGACCGUGUAUGGUGGGUAGUUUGACUGGGGCGGUCUCCUCCUAAAGAGUAACGGAGGAGCUCGAAGGUACGCUCAGCGCGGUCGGACAUCGCGCACUGUGUGCAAAGGCAUAAGCGUGCUUGACUGCAAGAUCGACGGAUCAAGCAGGUAGGAAACUAGGACUUAGUGAUCCGGUGGUUCUGUAUGGAAGGGCCAUCGCUCAACGGAUAAAAGGUACUCCGGGGAUAACAGGCUGAUACCGCCCAAGAGUUCAUAUCGACGGCGGUGUUUGGCACCUCGAUGUCGGCUCAUCACAUCCUGGGGCUGUAGUCGGUCCCAAGGGUAUGGCUGUUCGCCAUUUAAAGUGGUACGCGAGCUGGGUUCAGAACGUCGUGAGACAGUUCGGUCCCUAUCUGCCAUGGGCGUUGGAGAUUUGAGAGGGGCUGCUCCUAGUACGAGAGGACCGGAGUGGACGAACCUCUGGUGUUCCGGUUGUCACGCCAGUGGCAUUGCCGGGUAGCUAUGUUCGGAAGCGAUAACCGCUGAAAGCAUCUAAGCGGGAAGCGCGCCUCAAGAUGAGAUCUCCCGGGGCACAAGCCCCCUGAAGGAACCAUGUAGACUACGUGGUUGAUAGGUCAGAUGUGUAAGUACAGCAAUGUAUUGAGCUAACUGAUACUAAUGAUCCGUGCGGCUUGACCAUAUAACCU
This 2894-nucleotide ribosomal RNA is filed under the name Stenotrophomonas maltophilia. RNAcentral's name for it is "bacterial LSU rRNA". It matches the Rfam family "Bacterial large subunit ribosomal RNA". The record is from RNAcentral. Lineage: Bacteria; Pseudomonadati; Pseudomonadota; Gammaproteobacteria; Lysobacterales; Lysobacteraceae.